GUCCAGGCUGGAGCGCGAUCUGGAAUCUGACUCGCUGGAAACAGCACCGCGGUGGAUUCGGACCUGGCUUCCCUUGUCAGUCACGCAGCUGAAAGCAGGAAGAAGCUUUCUCUUCUGCACUUGGAACAACAAGGUGAAGAUGACAGAGAGUCCCACAUCUACCAUGGAAAAGGCAAUGGUCCCUAAAUCAUGCCAAGUUUUCUAAUGACAUGUGUUUUCCCGCAACAUGUAACUAUAUGUCCUCCCUUCAAGCACCAGUUAUCACAGUACAAACACAGCAACAGCAUAAAGGAAUGACUACUGAGCCUGAAGCUCUGAUGGAUGCUCUGAGUUGAGACUUUGUUUUAUACUUAGGUACCUGUGAGUCAUUGCAGAGUUUUGCCUGACUCCACCAUGACCCAAUUUGAUCAAGGUCUAUAUGCUAUGAGACCUCUCUAGUUCCUCAUCAGAAAUUAUAAUGAAUACCAUGUCCAGCUCCUGAGGUGCCUGAUGGCAACGAGCGGCAGCUCCUCUUGGGGCAACACUUUGGGGGUGACCAAGGCCUCACAGACCUCACUACUGCUGGGCUACAUGGCCCAAGGCUCCUGGGCGCAAUGGAUCGGUGGUCUUGGAUUCGCCUCGGACAUUUAAUGACAUUUGUUCUUGGGCUUUCACAAGUGGUCUCUGGUUGAGAUGGAAGGAAAGGACGCAGGGACACAAAAUCUCUGACUGCCCAGGGACCCCCUCACCGUCCUCACUUCCACUCAAGACGACAUGGCCGUUCCACUAAAUUCCCGAGGACAUGGCCAACAUGAGUAACAACACAGGGAAGUGCCUUACACAGAGUUCCAUGGAAGCCUGGCUAGUACCCUCUAGACCAUUUACCUACACCUGUUGGGAUCUCUCUAGCAUGAAAUGCUCCAGAGGCAGUCAUGCCAUAAGCUUGGAUCCUCCAGCCAUUGAGUGUGAGGGUCUUAGCCCGGUCUAAAUGAGCACUGAAUUCUAGAGAGACCAAGGGACUGUCUAAGUUCUGAAUUCUGAGUCCUGAAUCCUGGAAGUUGGCUUCUGGCCAGGGAGCAGGUGUUACUGCCUCUGAUCCACAAAAGCAGCCCCACAGCUCAAGUUGCUCUUCUGGAUUUCUCCCCUCUCCUGGUUCCUGGCCAGGCAAAUCUUCACUGCUUUGUUAGCCCAUCCAUUUGCUCAACCAGAUUUUUCAAAUAUGUAUGUUUUCCUCCUUUUCCCAUUGUACUCAGUGGAAGGAAUGGUCUAAAUUACCUAAUCAGCAAUUCCUGGAAACCAAGCCACCAUGUACAUACAAUCUUAUACGU
Molecule: long non-coding RNA, 1307 nt
Filed under: Homo sapiens (human)
Lineage: Eukaryota; Metazoa; Chordata; Mammalia; Primates; Hominidae
Description: MICB divergent transcript
Source: RNAcentral